This 377-nucleotide long non-coding RNA is filed under the name Setaria viridis. RNAcentral describes it as "long non-coding RNA (SVIR_LNC002195)". The record is from RNAcentral. Lineage: Eukaryota; Viridiplantae; Streptophyta; Magnoliopsida; Poales; Poaceae.
UGGGAGUAGGGGUAGGGCCAUCAACUGUCAUAGUUGAAGUAGAAAGUACAGGUGUAGCAACUGGUGCAUGAUCAAUCUCAUAAACAUCUUCAUCACCACCAUCAACAUGCUCUUCCUCUUCCUCAAAGAUGCUUUGUCCUAUUUCAUGUUCACUUGAAAGCUCAAAGACAGGAGUUGUGCAAGGCAUAGUUUCAUCAAAGGUAAUUUCACAUGUUUCCACAAUUCGGUUAGUUUCAAGGUUAAGCACACAAUAAGCACGAUUAUGAGAAGCAUAACCUAGAAAGAUACCAUCCGUAGAGCGAGACUCAAAUUUAUCCAAGUUAGCUUGCUUAAGAAUGAAACACUUGUAGCCAAACACUCUCAAGUGACUUACCUUG